GGGAGGCAGCAGUGAGGAAUAUUGGUCAAUGGACGAGAGUCUGAACCAGCCAAGUAGCGUGAAGGAUGACUGCCUAUGGGUUGUAAACUUCUUUUAUAUGGGAAUAAGUGGAGUAUGUAUACUCUUUUGUAUGUACCAUAUGAAUAAGGAUCGGCUAACUCCGUGCCAGCAGCCGCGGUAAUACGGAGGAUCCGAGCGUUAUCCGGAUUUAUUGGGUUUAAAGGGAGCGUAGGCGGAUGCUUAAGUCAGUUGUGAAAGUUUGCGGCUCAACCGUAAAAUUGCAGUUGAAACUGGGUGUCUUGAGUGCAGUAUAGGCAGGCGGAAUUCGUGGUGUAGCGGUGAAAUGCUUAGAUAUCACGAAGAACUCCGAUUGCGAAGGCAGCUUGCUGGAGUGUCACUGGCGCUGAUGCUCGAAAGUGUGGGU
RNAcentral lists this ribosomal RNA (424 nucleotides) under uncultured bacterium. RNAcentral's name for it is "bacterial SSU rRNA". It matches the Rfam family "Bacterial small subunit ribosomal RNA", at positions 343 to 766 of the family's 1533-position model. The record is from RNAcentral.